GGAGGAAAAGAAACUAACANGGAUUNCCNUAGUAACUGCGAGUGAAGCGGGAAAAGCUCAAAUUUAAAAUCUGGCGGCUCUGUCGUCCGAGUUGUAAUCUGGAGAAGCGUUUUCUGUGCUGGACCGUGUAAAAGUCUCUUGGAACAGAGCGUCAUAGAGGGUGAGAAUCCCGUCUUUGACACGGACUACCAGUGCUUUGUGAUACGCUCUCGAAGAGUCGCGUUGUUUGGGNAUGCAGCGCAAAAUGGGUGGUAUAUUCCAUCUAAAGCUAAAUAUUGGCGAGAGACCGAUAGCGAACAAGUACCGUGAGGGAAAGAUGAAAAGCACUUUGGAAAGAGAGUUAAACAGUCCGUGAAAUUGUUGAAAGGGAAACGCUUGAAGUCAGUCGCGUUGUGCAGGACUCAGCCUGGCAUUUUUGCUUGGUGUAUUUCCUGUAGGACGGGCCAGCAUCAAUUUUGACUGUUGGAUAAAGUACGAGGGAAUGUGGCACCUCCGGGUGUGUUAUAGCCCUUGUGCGCAUGCAAUAGUUGGGAUUGAGGUUCGCAGCACGCCUUUAUGGCCGGGGUUCGCCCACGUUCGUGCUUAGGNUGCUGGCAUAAUGGCUUUAAACGACCCGUCUUGAAACACGGACCAAGGAGUCUAACAUGCCCGCGAGUGUUUGGGUGUUAAACCCAUGCGCGUAAUGAAAGUGAAAGUUGAGACCCCUGUCAUGGGGGGCAUCGACGCCCGGUCUUGAGCUCUGGCGACGGAUCCGAGGUUGAGCGUGUAUGUUGGGACCCGAAAGAUGGUGAACUAUGCCUGAAUAGGGUGAAGCCAGAGGAANCUCUGGUGGAGGCUCGUAGCGAUUCUGACGUGCAAAUCGAUCGUCAAAUUUG
This 875-nucleotide ribosomal RNA is filed under the name Erythricium atropatanum. Its description in RNAcentral is "LSU rRNA". It matches the Rfam family "Eukaryotic large subunit ribosomal RNA", at positions 52 to 913 of the family's 3401-position model. The record is from RNAcentral. Lineage: Eukaryota; Fungi; Basidiomycota; Agaricomycetes; Corticiales; Corticiaceae.